ACUUUCCUUUAAAAAUCUGAUGACGAAAUGCUAGGCCCCGCCAUACGUCCCGAAAUGAAACUGAGCUCCCUUGCCGGCCUAAACCCUCUUUUCCUGAGCCUGGUGUAUACAAGGAAGGAGAUAAAUAAGAGAAGAAGGCCUUAUCAGAAAAAGAAAAAAACCCAGUGCAAGUAACUGGCUUGAGCGUAAUUUACCUUCGCAGCUUCCGGUCGUUUCCCUAAGUGAUUUAUUUAGAUCACAGAUUAACUUUCCAGAAUCGGAAUAAAAUAAUUUAGCUCUUCAGAGCACGGGUGGAGGAAAGCCAGGGCUGAGUUGGGACGAGUGCAGGAAACGCGUCGGACCUUUCCGGGCAGCUGGACAGUAUGGUAAACAGUCUGGAAGGGUUAUAUUAUUUUCUAAGGAGUUUGGAGAGACUGUUCCUUCGCACCCAGCUCAAGUGCAGGCCGGGGGAGGGGAGAGGGAACCUGCACCGGCCCUUGCUGGGAACCGCGCUUCCGGACCCGACACAGGGCUAGGGCAAACCGAGGAGCGCUUUCGCCUCUAGCUGAGAAACCUUUCCAGUCUUCCCAGCUGCUAGAGAAGGGAGCGAAAGCAAAACGAAAGCACCCGGGGCACAUCAGUCGCGGCGGCUUCCCUGAACGCGGCCGUGGGAGGCCAACGUCUGGGGUCGGUAGGCGAGGGUGGACGCGGGGGUUGCGUGGAAACUGGGUGGCGGGUGAUCCCCGCAGGACCCCCGGGAGCUGCUGGGAGCUCCGUCGCUCCUCCUCCCCCUGGGAAAAGCGACUGCGUGUGAGAAUGUAUCAGCCCCGAAGGGAAAGUUUGGCCUGGGUCUGGAGUUGAAAUUCGAGACUGAUUGGGACCGUGCGGAGGGGACGCAGAGGCAAAGGAGUGUGGCGCGGGGGCGAGCGUUGGCCCCCGGCUGCUGAGCCGGGGAAGAGGCCGGGGAGAGCCGGAGCGCGGCGAGGGCGCGCAGAGGCCGCUGGGGACUGGAGGCCCACGGAAUUGUUGCUCCGCUGAGGUUGCAAACUCAGCCUGCUUCCCCGCAAAAACCAGAGUUCUGCGCGGUAGAAAGACUUCAGGAAACUUUGGUGACAUCCUCUGCACCCGCCCUCUUCCCUCGUGGCAGUCACUGCGAGGACAAAGGCGGCCUGCGCUGAUUUGGACGAGGAGCGGCCCGUGUGGGCGGCCUUAGAGGCCGCAGACUUUUUCAGUUAGGAGAAGGAUGAGUAGCUUUACGAGGUGAAGAUUACCGCCACAACCACCCCUCAGGGGUGACAGCCAGUCCAAGUCUGAUUUGUUAAUAAUCAUUCUCAUUCCCCCACCUUCCCCCCGCAGUGACCCAACACUGGGAGACUGACCUGCGAGAUGCUCUCCCUUUCACUCCAGUAGGUUUCUGUGGCCAAACGCUCGAAAAGCCCCACCUUGCCCUACCUAAUAAACAACUAACUUUGUUCUAUUGAAUGUCACCUUUGUUGUAGAAAUAUCUGUGGGUUUUGGCAAGUGUCAAAAAAAAAAAAAAAAUCACCUGAUCCUAAAUGAGUCGAAUGUGGAAACAGUUUUUUGUGCGAGUAGUUUGGGUCUGUGCUUUCUCUCACUGGCACCUAAUGCAUCGCAGCUCCAGGCUGUUACACCUCUAGCUGUGCAGGGGCACUUUCGCACCACGCCCUUCCUCUUUUUAAAGAAGGAGACUUGGAAUUGUGCACUUGUGUGCCUUAUUUAGAUUCUGCAUCGCUGGUUAUUCAUUUCACCAAAAGGACUCAAAAACCUCUAUACUUUUAAAAGAUGCAAAAUGGAGUUAUUUUAAGCAGACCUCGGGAAGGGCAGCAUUGGUUUCCUGCUAAUGAUAUGCUGGUUAACAGGCAAUAGUCAAAUGCAGACUAACUGUUCGUUUUCUUUCUUCCCUCUUCACUCUAACUGCAAAUAUCAGAAAGUUCUAAGUGUGAAAAACAUGGCCCACUCCACCCAAAGUUCUUUCUACAAUGAUGAGAGGAGACCAGCAGGUGAAAGAGCCACGUAGGGUAUUACUUUUGGAAAGAGUCUUCUAUUUCUUAAAAAAGAAAAAGCAGCAAAAGCUACUUUUGACUCAACAGACUGAUUAAAAUGCCUGCUUUCACCAUGCGCGCCCUUUGGUUUCAUAUGUGGCCACUGUUCUCACUUUCUUGCAAGUUUUUCCCCUUGUAACUUAUUUCUGUGAAACAGAGAUUCCAUCAGGUUAUCUUGCUAAACUGGGCGUCUAUAAUUAUGAAGUUGGUCCUUUCUCCUCCACCCCACUUAAAAAGUACACACACGACUUUGAAAGCCCAUAGUUAUCUUUAUUUCGCAUCCUACUUUUUUUUUUUUUAAUUCCGCAUUCGCAAAUGAUGCUUUGCCUGGGCUAGGUUCAGACCGGAUUAUCGAAAACAUUACCCGCUCGGGCAGUCCCUUAAGCCAUCGAAAGCCCAACCUUGCGCAGGCUGCUGGAACCCGCACCAGAAACCUCGAUUUAGAGUCCAGUUUGGAAACAAAUCUGUGCUUUUCGCGGUGA
RNAcentral lists this long non-coding RNA (2524 nucleotides) under Sus scrofa (pig). RNAcentral's name for it is "lncRNA (ENSSSCG00045017950.1)". The record is from RNAcentral. Lineage: Eukaryota; Metazoa; Chordata; Mammalia; Artiodactyla; Suidae.